CUCCAAAGCCUGCCCCCAAUCCAGGGCAACAAUUUACCGGUUAAUUCUCCCCAUAUUUGGAAUUUUAAAAACAACGCAUUUGCGCAGAAUCUAGG
This is a non-coding RNA of Vicugna pacos (alpaca), 95 nucleotides long. Lineage: Eukaryota; Metazoa; Chordata; Mammalia; Artiodactyla; Camelidae. The record is from RefSeq and is a predicted model, not a curated record.